CCACGGGAGCUGCAGGGGCUGGUGAGUGCAGGGUGGGUCUGGGGUCCCUGAAAUGGAAUUAAAAAUAAAAAUUGGGGGUCUUGAGUGAAAAUUGGGGUUUAUGGAGGGAGUUGGGGGUCCCAGGGAAGGGUUUGGGGGUGUUCAGGUGCAGUUUGAGGUCCCUUAGAUGGGGAUUUGGGGUAGUGGGGUAAAUUUGAGGACCUUGAAUGCGAUUUGUGGGUUCUUUAAUUAAAUUUGGAGAUAAAAUCAGUGGCAUUUGGCAUCAUGAGGUUGGAUUUGGGGUCCUCAGAUGGGAUUUGGGGUUCAUGGGGGAACUUGGGGGUCCCAGGGAAGGGUUUGGGGGUGUUCAGGUGGAGUUUGAAGUCCCUUAGGGGAGAUUUGGGGUGGUGGGGUAAAUUUGAGGGCCUUGAAUGCAAUUCGUGAGUUCUUAAAUUGGAUUUGGAAAUAAUUAGUGGGAUUUGGCAUCAUGAGGUUGGAUUUGGGGGUCCCUGCAAUAGAGUUUGGGGUCCUGGGGUGAGAUUUGGGACCAUGGGAUGAGAUUUAAGGGUGCCAUGAUGGGAUUUGGGGUGCCGGGGUUAAUUUAAUAUUAGGAAGUUACUUGAGGGUCCUAGGGUGGGAUUUGGGGGGGAUCAAUUGUGCUUUGGGGUCCCAGGUUGGAAUUUGGUGUCCCUGGGGUGGGACUGGGGGGUCUCAGAGUGUGAUUUGAGGUUUCAGGGUGGGAUUUGGGGUCUCAAAGUGGGAUCUGGGAUCCCAGGUUGGUAUUUGGGGUGCCAAGUUGGUAUUUUGGGUUCCAUGCCGUGUUUUGAGGUCCCAGGUUGGUAUUUGGUUUUCCAUGCUGUAUUUUGGGGUGCCAGGUUGGUAUUUGGGGUGCCAGGUUGGUAUUUUGGGUUCCCUGCUGUAUUUUCAAGGUUGGUAUUUGGGGUCCUAGGUUGGUUUUUGGUUCCAUGCCGU
This 951-nucleotide long non-coding RNA is filed under the name Zonotrichia albicollis (white-throated sparrow). Its description in RNAcentral is "lncRNA (ENSZALG00000002019.1)". The record is from RNAcentral. Lineage: Eukaryota; Metazoa; Chordata; Aves; Passeriformes; Passerellidae.